Molecule: long non-coding RNA, 1381 nt
Filed under: Gossypium barbadense (sea-island cotton)
Lineage: Eukaryota; Viridiplantae; Streptophyta; Magnoliopsida; Malvales; Malvaceae
Description: long non-coding RNA (GBAR_LNC017069)
Source: RNAcentral
AUAGCCAUUCUCUUCCUUCACUAGUGAAUAGCCAUUCCAUUCCACGGGAGUAAUUUUUUUCCCUAUUUUAAAUUUUUCCCCUCACCUUUACCCAGAGAGAAUGAAGAAGCUGUAAUGGAACCAUCAUCUUCUCCUUCAGUCUGGUAACUUUCUUUAUUACAGCCUGAAUCCAUUCCAGCUCUAUUACAGGAAAAGGUUGAAUAGCCAUUCUCUUCCUUCACUAGUGAAUAGCCAUUCCAUUCCACGGGAGUAAUUUUUUUCCCUAUUUUAAAUUUUUCCCCUCACCUUUACCCAGAGAGAAUGAAGAAGCUGUAAUGGAACCAUCAUCUUCUCCUUCAGUCUGGUAACUUUCUUUCCUUUCCAUCUCUACGUUUCCCUUUUUUUCCUUUGAUUGCAGAGGAAACCUAGGUAAGCUGUAAAGGGAUUUCUAUUCCCUUCCCUCCUUAACUUUACCCUCACAAAUUCUCACCUCAAAACGACAGCCAAUCCAAAAGCUAUUUCUGCAAAGCAAAGUCAAGGCUUCGAUUAUUCACUUUCAUCAUACGCUACGCGCCCUUCAAGUUCUCUUAAUCUUUGCAUCUUUCACCAGCUCCACCGUCUCAGAUCUCCAGCCCAACUGUUUCGCUCACUCUCUUAUUUUGCAAUGGUGAGACCUAAGAAGCAAUUGACACUUUCAUCAUUAUCACUGGGGCACCCGAAGCUGUUGCUAUUUCCAUGCUAAAGGUAGUUUUUGGAAAAUUUUUAAUUAAAUCUUAGUUUUAUUUUGUUAAAAUUUUAAACUGGAUUAUCGAAUUGGCUUCUGAUUGUAGGUUGAUCAAUGAUCGGUUGAUUUCUUCUUUUUUAAUUUUUUAGGGUUUAUAAUAUACUGCUUAAUGUUGUUGAUUUAUUUUUCUAAUAAUUUUUUCAUUCAUUUGUUGAAGAUAACUGAAUUUUUAUUGGUUGUAAUUGGACUUGGGUUUAGCCAAUGACUAUAAUCAAAGGGUUAAUUUAAGGUUUGAAUGAAUUAUUUGAAAAUUUUAUUAUUUUUCUUUUCAAUUAGUUGUUUUACUUGGAUUUAACUUAUAUUAGUCAAAUGAACUGGCUUUAAAAAAUGAACAAGAACGAAGAAAUUGGAUGGUUGACUGGACACUAGAAAGGGGCAAAGCUAAAAGUUGUAAAUGUUUUGAAUAUAGAGUUGUAUUUUUUUCAUGGCUUCAGAAAAAUGUAUACAAUGUUUGGCCAGCGAUAAUGGACAAGUUUUUUUAAACCUCCAUGCCUUAGUCAUGCUUUCAUAAACAUGUGCAGCUAACACCGAGAAGUCUCAUUCAAUGUAGUAAGUGAUUUAAAAGUGAAGCUCAUAUACGUCAUUGCUACUCUCUUUGCAGCUAAACUCCCAUGAGAC